CCUACGGGAGGCAGCAGUAAGGAAUAUUGGGCAAUGGACGAGAGUCUGACCCAGCCAUGCCGCGUGAAGGAUGAAGGUCCUCAGGAUUGUAAACUUCUUUUAUCUGGGACGAAAAAAGGCUAUUAUUAGUCACUUGACGGUACCAGAGGAAUAAGCACCGGCUAACUCCGUGCCAGCAGCCGCGGUAAU
This 189-nucleotide ribosomal RNA is filed under the name uncultured bacterium. RNAcentral describes it as "partial 16S ribosomal RNA". It matches the Rfam family "Bacterial small subunit ribosomal RNA", at positions 338 to 524 of the family's 1533-position model. The record is from RNAcentral.